GUCCGGGCCCUGCGCUGCUGGAAUUGUGCUCCUGGCCGCGGCUCCUGAAGGCAGCAGGUGCAGCCCCCUCCGCGUGGAGCUGCGACCUGAGCUGCUUCUGAGGCCCCACCAGGUGUGCGCUCCAGCCCUUUACCGCGCUUGCCCG
Non-coding RNA from Canis lupus familiaris (dog), 145 nucleotides. The record is from RefSeq and is marked provisional. Lineage: Eukaryota; Metazoa; Chordata; Mammalia; Carnivora; Canidae.